UACGUAGGGGGCAAGCGUUGUCCGGAAUCAUUGGGCGUAAGGAGCGUGUAGGCGGCUCGAUAAGUCUGCUGUGAAAGUCCAGGGCUCAACCCUGGAAGGCCGGUGGAAACUGUCGGGCUAGAGUCCGGAAGAGGCGAGUGGAAUUCCCGGUGUAGCGGUGAAAUGCGCAGAUAUCGGGAGGAACACCAAUGGCGAAGGCAGCUCGCUGGGACGGUACUGACGCUGAGACGCGAAAGCGUGGGGAGCAAACAGG
Molecule: ribosomal RNA, 253 nt
Filed under: uncultured bacterium
Lineage: Bacteria
Description: partial 16S ribosomal RNA
Rfam family: Bacterial small subunit ribosomal RNA
Source: RNAcentral